UGUUAUGGAACUGCUUGUUUCUCUGUGGGCCGCGCCGGCUGGCUCAUCGCUUCUCUGGAUGUAGUCCCAUCCCGGGCCCGCAGUCCGCACAAUCGAUAUCAACGAAAGCUACAAUGUCUGUAGCAAAAUAGACCUACACAACACUUUCCAAAAGAAUCACAAAAUCGAUAACCUCAAACAGCCGGAACUAUUAACAAAUGAACAACAUUAACAGCUGUAACAACAAGAAAAUGUAAACAACAAAGAUCGUGUCCCGGUUAUGGACCCAGCGUACCUGAGACGAUCACCUGAUCUCGUCUCCCUCAUUUUGGCCACUAGAUGGCCUGCAUCAGCCCGUGUCAGCUGUCAUGCCCCCUCUCCCCAUCAAUUGAAGCUUAGCCGGACAUUCUUUUUCUACUUCACCAAACGGUUUCAUGUAAAUGAACAAAUUAGCCAACAAAUCGGGAAAAUCCCCACAAGCAAAUCCCCAAAAACAC
Molecule: long non-coding RNA, 476 nt
Organism: Drosophila montana
Lineage: Eukaryota; Metazoa; Arthropoda; Insecta; Diptera; Drosophilidae
Exons: 3
Source: RefSeq, a predicted model, not a curated record